RNAcentral lists this long non-coding RNA (248 nucleotides) under Daucus carota (carrot). RNAcentral describes it as "long non-coding RNA (DCAR_LNC001196)". The record is from RNAcentral. Lineage: Eukaryota; Viridiplantae; Streptophyta; Magnoliopsida; Apiales; Apiaceae.
AUAGAGUUAUGAAAUAUUAGAACUAAAAUCCAAAUCCACAAUCCCGGAAUCACCAGGAAUGAGUAUGAACAACAUCUAAAUAUUACAUACCCAAAUGAAAUCCAAAUUAAGUCUAAGUCAUUACUACAAAUUUUAAAUCCCAAAAGUUCAAAAGAUAACAUCUAGGGAACUACGAGUUCCCAACCUGCUCCAUCAUACGGCGGUAAGCAAUCCCAUUGCCUGAGGUGGAUUUACGUGCGGUCUGCUUG